CACCAGGUUGAUUCUGCCUGACGUGGAUGCUAGUUUCUAAGGUUAAGCCAUGCAUGUUUUUGAAGCCCUUGUGGUGGAUUGAUGGACGGCUCAGUGAUACUACGAUGAUUUGAUCGAUAUCUGUUUGUAAUUACGGGAAACUGUAGAUAAGGAUAGUUUGGGUAUGCUUGUGUUUUCUUGUGUAUCUUAUGUUUAUCGAGUAAGUUGUAGACCUAUCAACUAGUAGUUAGGGUAAUGGCCUAACUAGGUAGUGACGGGAGACGGGGGAUUAGGGUUUGAUUCCGGAGAGGGAGCCUGAGAGAUGGCUACUACGUCCAAGGACGGCAGCAGGCGCGAAAA
This 339-nucleotide ribosomal RNA is filed under the name Microsporidium sp. BBRA3. RNAcentral describes it as "SSU rRNA". It matches the Rfam family "Microsporidia small subunit ribosomal RNA", at positions 1 to 299 of the family's 1311-position model. The record is from RNAcentral. Lineage: Eukaryota; Fungi; Microsporidia.